Molecule: ribosomal RNA, 460 nt
Filed under: uncultured bacterium
Lineage: Bacteria
Description: bacterial SSU rRNA
Rfam family: Bacterial small subunit ribosomal RNA
Source: RNAcentral
UACGGGAGGCAGCAGGGGGAAUAUUGCACAAUGGGCGAAAGCCUGAUGCAGCUAUGCCGCGUGUAUGAAGAAGGCCUUAGGGUUGUAAAGUACUUUCAUCGGGGAGGAAAAAACAAAACUAAUAAUUUUAUUUCUUGACGUUACCCGAAAAAGAAGCACCGGCUAACUCCGUGCCAGCAGCCGCGGUAAUACGGAGGGUGCUAGCGUUAAUCAGAAUUACUGGGCGUAAAGAGCACGUAGGUGGUUUUUUUAAAGUCAGAUGUGAAAUCCCUGGGCUUAACCUAGGAACUGCAUUUUGAAACUGAAAUACUAGAGUAUCGUAGAGGGAGGUAGAAUUCUAGGUGUAGCGGUGAAAUGCGUAGAUAUCUGGAGGAAUACCUGUGGCGAAAGCGGCCUCCUAAACGAAUACUGACACUGAGGGUGCGAAAGCGUGGGGAGCAAACAGGGAUUAGAUACCCGU